AAAACCAUCUCUACUCUGGUCAACACCGGGCAACUGAACCAUUCCUGCACAUUACUUUUUAAUGUAGCCGGCGCCAUUCCCGACCCAUCUUUAUAGUGGCCAGAAAGCCAAGAGCGUAAGUGUUCUACACAUAGGGCGCCUUCAAAUUUUUUACUUUAGCAGCGCGAUCUUCCUUCAAGGGGAAGUAUGUUCUCUCCUAGAAACACUCCCGCCUUGGAGAAGGGGUUGAGUUCGCAACUCCACUUACAGACUACGGAGGAACCCCAGGGUCAAACCAAACCAAACCAAUUCUAGCCAGUUGCUUAGCGCGGUUCAAGUUGCUUAGUGCGCUGGAAGCGGCAUUUCAGGCCUUCCAACAUCUGGCUCGAACCUUCUCAGAGUAUUCCAAGGAUGGAAUACUCUCACUUGAGCGCUGCCGAGGGUUCCGCUUGAGGGAAACAUGAGUUUGUGAAGACACUCUGUCAUCCAGGCUGGAGUACAGUGGUACGAUCUUGGCUCACUGCAACCUCUGCCUCCAGGGUUCAAGCGAUUCUCCUGCCUCAGCCUCCCAAGUAGCUGGGAUUACAGGGUCUCACUCCGUCACUCUGCAGGAGUGCAGUGGUGUGAUCAAUGGCUCACUGCACCUUGACCUCCUGGGCUCAAGCAUCUUCUCCACUCAGCCUCCCAACAGCAUGAGCCACCAUGCCUGGCUAAUAAAUUGAUACCAACUAUCGCUCUACUCAGCUACCUAAAAAGGUGGUCUUCACAAGUUUUAAGAACAUUAAAUGACACAAUAUUGGCACAUAAUCAAUAUUUUAUCAUUUUAUAUUUGGAAAAAAAAUGGGAAGCUGGGGUAAACCAGUUUCUAAAUAAAGCUAGUGAAACUUUAAUUCAUUCAAACACUAUGGUAGUUAUGUUGAUGAUAAGUAAACAUUAUUAUUUAUACUGUUUCCUGAGGUGAUCCAGAAACUAUUGUUGUUAUAGUAGACUUGCUACUAUAUACAUUUACUAUCCCUGCAAAUGUGCUUUGGAAAUACUCAAAAUAAAAACAAAAAUUUUAA
This is a long non-coding RNA of Symphalangus syndactylus (siamang), 1040 nucleotides long. RefSeq lists it as uncharacterized. The record is from RefSeq and is a predicted model, not a curated record. Lineage: Eukaryota; Metazoa; Chordata; Mammalia; Primates; Hylobatidae.